GAAAGACGGAAGAAUCAACUCCUUUUUCACUCAAAGAAAACUAUGGCAUUUCAUCAUCCAAAAAAAUAACAAAGCAGAAGUUAAAACACAGGAGUUGAUCUUCUCUCCGACUCAUCAAUGGUGAGUAAACUGUAAGAUACUAUAGUUUCUCCAACCACAACUCAUAAAUAUUACAAUGAAAAUGAGAAUUUUUCUUAUUAUCGCAUCAUUAACAAAAUAAUAUGCUUAGAGAAAUAACCAUGAGAUAUUUUUUUUUCACUAAGUUCAACUGAUAGAAGAUAGGCAAGGGGUCAGUGAUUUUGGAUUUAAAGAUGAUAUUCAUCCCUUCUGAAAUCAGCAUUUUCUUCCAGAAGCUUAUGAUUUUUUCCCUUGAGCUAAGCUUACACGCAUUGCUCGUCCUUCUAGUUCCUAUAAUACAAAAAGAAACAGCCAGUGAUUAUUUUCGUCCUGGAUAAAAUUAUAUCAGGCUAAGAAAGAUUGCAGCCAGGGAGAAUAGGAAGGUGGACUGUACCACUCCAUUAAGAGACUCAAGGGCAUUUUCCAUCUCUGAUCGGGUUGAGUAGCACACAAAACCAUAACCUCGCGACCUUCCGGUCUCCCCAUCGUAUAGAACUCUUGCUCCAACCACAUUUCCAUAUUCUUGAAAAGCUUGUGUCAAACUUUCUGAUGUUACUGACCAGGAUAAAUUCCCAAUAAAAAGCUUGUGUUCUGUUUCUGGAUAUAAAGGUUCCUUCGGUUUAGGUUUGUCAGAAAAGUUCACCCUCAAGAUGCGACCCAUGUAUUGACUUCCAUCAAGAUUUUCAAUCACUGCAUUACAAUCUUCAACGCUGCUCAUCGUUACAAAUGCAAAACCUCUACUUCUUCCAGUUUCUCUGUCGUAAAGAACCUAUAGUAUUCACAUUCUUUAGUACAGGAAUCGCUAAAAAGACAUUGGGAAAAGAUAGAAUAGCAUGUCAUAAUACAUGGGAUGACAGACAAUUGGAAAGCAAAAGAUUAAACUUCAAGUUUCAGAAUCUAUUUCAGAAUCUACAGAAAGCAUUGCAGAGACAUCUGAAACAGUAAGUUCCUAUGACUUUUUAAGCAAUCAAUAUCCUGAGAAAACGUGAAACUAAAGAUAGCCAGAAAAGAAGGGAAUCUAAUUUAAACCUUUAUUAGGAAGUUUUAUGGUUUUUAAGCAACAAAAUUGAGAUUACCAACCAAUUAAACAAUUGUUCACGUCCUUAUGCUGAAUUACUUUCAUCACAUUGAACAACCUCCUCACUCUUGAUUUUAUUGCAGGUCCACAUCUGAAGUAGCAGACAGUAGAAAGGCCCUCCCUGCCUGCAAUAUGUGCGUAAUAGUUGCAGGGGAUAUUUUCUCAUAAGCCAAGUUCUUUCACCAGAAAUCAGAACCUUAUUCCUUAUUGAAUUGCAAUUAGAAUUAUCAAAAGGGAAUGCAGCUCACCUCUGAUCCCCAAUUCCUAGCCUGGUCUGAUAAGGGAAAAAAAAUCUAAUAAGUUAAUUAACUUGUUCACUAAUAACAGUUUAUUGGAGUUGCAUACAGCUUUUCUUAUUAUUGUAUUAAUACUCAAUCUUGUUACAAAUAGCCAUCAGAAUCAAGCAAAUCAUUGACAACUAACAAGAUAUAAGUAGAUAAUAAAAUAAUAACACAGGUAUAGUUCAUGUUGCAAUGUAUAGUACCUCAACGAGCUCAGGAGUACCAUAAUCUUGAAUGAUUCCAGCAAGCUGUGCACUAUCAACAUUAUAAGGCAAAUUCCCAAAGUAAAGCUUAGCGUUAACAAGGGUCUGAUCAGCAUCUUUUUCACCUUCUCCUGCUACUUGCUCCUGUUCAUCCUGGUGCAAACCCUCUUCCACAGGAGCAGUAGCGGCAGCCUCCUCUUGAGCAACAGCUGCAGACACUCUAGGCACACGCCAGGAGACUGCAACUGAUGAAAGUGGUUCUAUAGCAUAAGAGCGAUGGAUUAUGGAGGCUGCAGUCGUGAUGC
This 1984-nucleotide unclassified non-coding RNA is filed under the name Hevea brasiliensis (rubber tree). Lineage: Eukaryota; Viridiplantae; Streptophyta; Magnoliopsida; Malpighiales; Euphorbiaceae. The record is from RNAcentral.